Molecule: long non-coding RNA, 3533 nt
Filed under: Lactuca sativa (garden lettuce)
Lineage: Eukaryota; Viridiplantae; Streptophyta; Magnoliopsida; Asterales; Asteraceae
Description: long non-coding RNA (LSAT_LNC000629)
Source: RNAcentral
GCCGAAGGGCUCUUGGAUGAAGGCUCAUGUGUUGUUUGAUGACCAAACAAAACGAUUAGGUUUCCUCAUUAAACCGUAGCUUUGGCUCUAAGCUACCUCACGUAUAUAAAGAGCCUUAGGCUUUACAAAUUUGACACUCCUAACCCUAGGAGAGUUCUAGCCGAAAAUGUCACUCUCCCUCUCCAUAAUCCUUAGUUGUUAGUAUUGGGUGUGAACCAUCAGAGGCAUGACACUUAUCGUGCUAGCUACCAAAAGAUUUGAAGAAGGAUUCAAGGAUUAUUUAUAAUAACGAUCUUAAAUGUUAGUUUUCUUAUCUUAGGAAUAUGUUUACUUAUAGGAAAGCUUUUUAUGGUAGCGUUCAUAGCAUGCUGCAACUAUGUGAAAGACAUAGAUCAAACUAGAUUAUAUGUGCCUUAAUCAAUUGAAUUGUUGUAACGACCUAAAAAACAAGGGUAAAAAUUUUAGUUUUGUUACAGUCAAAACACAAAUAUCCUUUAAAUCCAAGAAUUCCAAAAGAUUGUUAAUUAAAACGUUUAUCAGAUUCCUUCCCAAAAUUAUAUGAUACGGAGAACACAGGUGUGCACUGCGAUCAAGCCAGGUCGUUCCUUUCCAAACCGAUGAUACCUAGAACAAUAAAAAAAAAUUGUAAGCACGAAGCCUAGUGACUUCCCCAGAGCAUACCCCACAGAAUCCACAUAACCACAUCAUCUAUAUCAGCUAUAAAAGCUACAUAAACCAUAUCAAUCAAGUAGGCCAUAUCAAUCACAUAGCCAUAUCAAUCACAUAGCCAUAUCAUAUAAACAUAUAAGGAUAAUNAUAAUAUGAUAAUAUUAUAUUAAUUACAAAUUAUGAUAUUUGAUUAACAAUUAACCAGAAAUUAACUAGAAUUAAUUUUGGGGUUAAUUGGAAAAAUCUAUAGUGCAGGGGUUGUUUGACUAUUUAUUGAUAGUUGAGGAAAAGUCUCGAGUAUCUCCUUGUAUGAGGUUAGAAAAAACCUUCUAGGGAGGGCCUAUUAUUUUCGCCGAAGGGCUCUUGGAUGAAGGCUCAUGUGUUGUUUGAUGACCAAACAAAACGAUUAGGUUUCCUCAUUAAACCGUAGCUUUGGCUCUAAGCUACCUCACGUAUAUAAAGAGCCUUAGGCUUUACAAAUUUGACACUCCUAACCCUAGGAGAGUUCUAGCCGAAAAUGUCACUCUCCCUCUCCAUAAUCCUUAGUUGUUAGUAUUGGGUGUGAACCAUCAGAGGCAUGACACUUAUCGUGCUAGCUACCAAAAGAUUUGAAGAAGGAUUCAAGGAUUAUUUAUAAUAACGAUCUUAAAUGUUAGUUUUCUUAUCUUAGGAAUAUGUUUACUUAUAGGAAAGCUUUUUAUGGUAGCGUUCAUAGCAUGCUGCAACUAUGUGAAAGACAUAGAUCAAACUAGAUUAUAUGUGCCUUAAUCAAUUGAAUUGUUGUAACGACCUAAAAAACAAGGGUAAAAAUUUUAGUUUUGUUACAGUCAAAACACAAAUAUCCUUUAAAUCCAAGAAUUCCAAAAGAUUGUUAAUUAAAACGUUUAUCAGAUUCCUUCCCAAAAUUAUAUGAUACGGAGAACACAGGUGUGCACUGCGAUCAAGCCAGGUCGUUCCUUUCCAAACCGAUGAUACCUAGAACAAUAAAAAAAAAUUGUAAGCACGAAGCCUAGUGACUUCCCCAGAGCAUACCCCACACAAUCCACAUAACCACAUCAUCCAUAUCAGCUAUAAAAGCUACAUAAACCAUAUCAAUCAAGUAGGCCAUAUCAAUCACAUAGCCAUAUCAUAUAAACAUAUAAGGAUAACGUGGGCUCCUCCUGGUGUCUUACUCCAGGAUGCCAUGGGCUCCCUCACAUGGUCUUACACCUAAGUUCCAUGGGCUCCCCCCAUGGUCUUUAGGUAAAAAGUCAUGGGCUCCCCCAUACGGUCUUACAUCCAAAUGCCAUGGCUCCCCUAUGGUCUUUAGCUGAAAAGACAUGGGCUCCCCCACAUGGUCUUACAUCCAAGUGUCUUGGGCUCCCCCAUGGUCUUUACCUGAAAAGCCAUGGGUUCCCCCACAUGGUCUUACAUCCAAGCGUCAUGGGCUCCCCCAUGGUGUUCCAUGCAAGUAUCACAAAGACAAUUAGUAUACCACAUACCACAUAGUCAAAUAGCAUACCACAUAAUCACUAGCAUACCACAUAUACAUGCAUACCAGACAUAUCAGUAGUGAAUCUACAAUAAACACUACAACUAACUGAAUGGGCCGACCUUGGUGCCUUAGACCCAUUGGUAUGGUGAGGAGAUCAAUAAUAUGUUCCCAAUUGGCCCACGAAGGCCCACAACAGUUUAGUCAAAUAAAUGGCUCAACAUGAACCCAAACCCAAUUAGGGUUUUUCAUAUAAUAUGAAGAUUAAGGUUAAGUGUUUCUUACUUAACCCAGUAAGGACUUAAUCCAUUAUGGAAUUAAUACAUUAAGUCCACUACUCCACUAGACAAAACAUACAAAGUAAUCGAGCGUAAUUCAAAACUCCAAAUCCAAUGGUCCAAACGCGGGUCCCGACAAAUCACAAAUUCCCAUUCCUAAAAUUAGGGUUUUCCAAACCCUAAUUAGGGUUUCUAACCCAAUAGCAUUCCAAUUAGUCCAUUUGUGAAGUUUUCGGUCAAAUUAGGGUUUCAUUAGGUCAUUUAGGGUUAGCUAAGUCGGGCACCACCUACUACCACCUCAAGUAGUGCUGGUCAAUUGUGGUUCACGGUGGCGGCCAUCACCUCGAUGUGGUGGUUAUGAUUCUAGUCCAAAUCAUGUCUGAGCAUCCAAUCAUACACAAAUGCAAACCGCCACCAACACGGAGGCUGGUGGCGGCAGAAUGCGGUAGCCACCACCUCACGGUGCUGGUGGUGGUGAUUUCCUUGAUUAUUCUCGCUAAAAAUCCGAUUAUAAAACAUGAUAUCCAAAGUAUACACCAAAUAAACACCAUUCCACAUACAUAGCCACCACCACAUGACGGGUAGUGGUGGCAGGGAAGGAAACAAUGACGGCAACCACCAUCGUUGGCAGCCAAAGUGGUUCUCUUUUACUUCCGACUGACCAAGUACACACACGCCGAUUAAAUCUGAAAUACGCGUCCAAAAACGAGCAGAAAUACUCUUCCUCACAUGAAUCACGAACUCCUCUCAGCGUGGCAAACGGUGACCGGAGUAGUAAAGAACUACACAGGCGGCGACGGUGGACCAGUGACAACGCAAUAGAAGAAUAAAGGGGAAGGAAAAGUGGUCGUGACCCCAACUGGUGAACGGCAGCGGCAAAAAAUCACGUUCCACUAACCAUCCACUGACUCGACGACAAAGGGUGGCCUUCGUCUUCAACCUACUGAAUGCAACAGCGACGGUGUGGCAUCCCCAAAAUCAUGGCCAGAAAAGACCGGUUUCAUUUAUGAUUUUAAAAUAAUUUCACAGUAAAUCUAUUGAUUUAAAAGAGUUGUGGAAUUAAUCCCUAUGUGAGUUAUUAUAACCAUGGUUAAUGUCACUGAUAUGCUUGAACG